This 507-nucleotide ribosomal RNA is filed under the name uncultured bacterium. RNAcentral's name for it is "bacterial SSU rRNA". It matches the Rfam family "Bacterial small subunit ribosomal RNA", at positions 28 to 529 of the family's 1533-position model. The record is from RNAcentral.
GACGAACGCUGGCGGCGUGCCUAAUACAUGCAAGUCGAGCGGGGAUUAUGCUUGAUCGCUUCGGUGAGACGGCAUAUAUCCUAGCGGCGGACGGGUGAGUAACGCGUGGGUAAUCUACCUCGUAGUUCGGGAUAACAGGCCGAAAGGCUUGCUAAUACCGGAUGAGUUCAUGCUUAUGCAUAUAGGCAUGAAGAAAGGGCUAGCCCGCUAUGAGAUGAGCCCGCGUCCCAUUAGCUUGUUGGUGGGGUAAUGGCCUACCAAGGCAACGAUGGGUAGCCGGCCUGAGAGGGUGUACGGCCACACUGGGACUGAGACACGGCCCAGACUCCUACGGGAGGCAGCAGCAGGGAAUCUUGGGCAAUGGGCGAAAGCCUGACCCAGCGACGCCGCGUGGAGGAAGAAGUCCUUCGGGCGUAAACUCCUGGACGUGGGGACGGAGGAAGGACGGUACCCCAGGUAGAAGGGACGGCGUAACUACGUGCCAGCGAGCCGACGGUAAAUAGCGUA